UACGUAGGGUCCGAGCGUUGUCCGGAAUUAUUGGGCGUAAAGAGCUCGUAGGCGGCCUGUCGCGUCGGAUGUGAAAACCCGGGGCUCAACCCCGGGCCUGCAUUCGAUACGGGCAGGCUAGAGUUCGGCAGGGGAGACUGGAAUUCCUGGUGUAGCGGUGAAAUGCGCAGAUAUCAGGAGGAACACCGGUGGCGAAGGCGGGUCUCUGGGCCGAUACUGACGCUGAGGAGCGAAAGCGUGGGGAGCGAACA
RNAcentral lists this ribosomal RNA (251 nucleotides) under uncultured prokaryote. Its description in RNAcentral is "partial 16S ribosomal RNA". It matches the Rfam family "Bacterial small subunit ribosomal RNA", at positions 524 to 774 of the family's 1533-position model. The record is from RNAcentral.